Molecule: RNA transcript, 1337 nt
Organism: Brassica napus (rape)
Lineage: Eukaryota; Viridiplantae; Streptophyta; Magnoliopsida; Brassicales; Brassicaceae
Gene name: shaggy-related protein kinase beta-like
Exons: 11
Source: RefSeq, a predicted model, not a curated record
AUGGGAAUCGGUGAUGACGACAAGGAUAAGGACGGUGGGAUUAUCAAGGGUAAUGGGACAGAGUCUGGUCGGAUCAUUACCACCACAGAAGGGUCUGAACGAUCAAAGAGACAAGGUGGUUUCAGUUAUGAUUGUUAUACAAUCUCGUACAGAGCUGAACAUGUGAUUGGCACUGGCUCAUUCGGUGUUGCUAAGUGCUUAGAGACAGAAGAAAAAGUAGCUAUCAAGAAAGUGUUGCAAGACAAGAGAUACAAGAACAGAGAGCUUCAGAUCAUGCGGAUGCUUGAUCAUCCUAAUGUUGUUGACCUCAAGCAUUCUUUCUUCUCCACCACUGAGAAAGAUGAGCUUUAUCUUAACCUUGUUCUUGAGUAUGUACCUGAGACUAUAUACCGUUCUUCAAGAUCUUACACCAAGAUGAAUCAACACAUGCCCUUGAUCUAUAUUCAGCUCUAUACAUAUCAGAUUUGCCGCGCAAUGAACUAUCUACAUAGAGUUGUUGGAGUGGUGUCACCGUGACAUUAAACCUCAGAAUCUAUUGGUCAAUAAUGUUACACAUGAGGUGAAGGUAUGCGAUUUUGGGAGCGCCAAGAUGCUGAUUCCGGGAGAACCCAAUAUAUCUUACAUAUGCUCAAGGUAUUACAGAGCUCCUGAACUCAUAUUUGGGGUAACUGAGUACACAACCGCCAUCGAUAUGUGGUCUGUUGGCUGUGUCAUGGCUGAACUUUUUCUUGGACAUCCUCUGUUCCCUGGAGAGACUAGUGUUGAUCAAUUGGUUGAGAUCAUUAAGAUUUUGGGAACACCAGCAAGAGAAGAGAUCAGAAACAUGAAUCCUCGUUACAAUGAUUUUAAGUUCCCUCAGAUCAAAGCUCAGCCAUGGCACAAGAUUUUCCGGAGACAGGUAUCUCCAGAAGCAAUGGAUCUUGCCUCUAGACUCCUCCAGUACUCACCAAACCUGAGAUGUUCAGCGCUUGAAGCAUGUGCACACCCCUUCUUCGAUGAUCUGAGAGACCCGAGAGCAUCCUUGCCUAAUGGAAGAGCACUUCCUCCACUGUUUGAUUUCACAGCUCAAGAACUGGCUGGUGCAUCUGUUGAAUUGCGUCAUCGCUUAAUCCCUGAACAUGCAAGGAAAUAACUUACUUUGUCUAACGAGACCGCUUCUUCUCUACACAGAUGUUGAUAUCUAAAUUCCUUUUUUUUUGGCAUUGUUCUGGUUAUGAACACCCUCAUUGACCUCUGCAACCACCUUGCACUAGCAGUUCCAAAAGUGUAUGAUUUGUUAAGUUUGUAACUUUGUAGACUCCAUUGUUGCAGACAGAAAAUGCAGAAUUUUCCGAGUU